This 507-nucleotide long non-coding RNA is filed under the name Elaeis guineensis (African oil palm). RNAcentral's name for it is "long non-coding RNA (EGUI_LNC012181)". Lineage: Eukaryota; Viridiplantae; Streptophyta; Magnoliopsida; Arecales; Arecaceae. The record is from RNAcentral.
CUGUCCAUUUUUUUUUUACCAUCAUUUAAAUCUCUCUAGAAGUCUACUUAAUCUCCUGAUAUUGUUCGCUUUCUAGUUGAAACUACAGAAGACUUGCAUCCCACUAUUUUGACAUGAUGGGUGAGAUUUGGCUUGGCAUGGGCGUGGCUUUGGUCUUUUGUUUAAAAGUUAUUGUGUGCAUCUUCCAUUUGGUUGCUAUUAUCUGGGAUCAUUUGUAUUGGAAUCUAGUUUCAGUUAAGGAGGAGAGGGAUGAAGUAAUAGAAAGAGAGGGGGAAGAGGAGGGAAGAGAGGGAGAGGGCAAAGAAGACAAAGAGAGGAGGAGAGGAGAAUGGGGGUGGGGGCAGUGUUGGCCGGAGGGUUGUCAGCAGGGUUGCAUGUCCAUCUUAGAAAGAAGGGUUGGGAGAAGAGAUGGGGUUAACAUUAGGACUUUGGUAUUUUAGUUUUUUUUAACUCUUUUGAGUUUAACGUCAUAUUUCAUCUUAUUUUGAAAUAACCUAACAAAUCUAU